This 445-nucleotide ribosomal RNA is filed under the name uncultured bacterium. RNAcentral's name for it is "partial 16S ribosomal RNA". It matches the Rfam family "Bacterial small subunit ribosomal RNA", at positions 354 to 796 of the family's 1533-position model. The record is from RNAcentral.
GUGAGGAAUAUUGGUCAAUGGGCGCAAGCCUGAACCAGCCAUGCCGCGUGCAGGAAGACGGUCCUAUGGAUUGUAAACUGCUUUUAUUUGGGAAUAAACUCCGGUACGUGUACCGGCCUGAAGGUACCAAAUGAAUAAGCACCGGCUAACUCCGUGCCAGCAGCCGCGGUAAUACGGAGGGUGCAAGCGUUAUCCGGAAUCAUUGGGUUUAAAGGGUCCGCAGGCGGUCUUAUAAGUUAGUGGUGAAAGCCUACAGCUCAACUGUAGAACUGCCAUUGAUACUGUAGGACUUGAAUUCGAUCGAAGUGGGCGGAAUGUGACAUGUAGCGGUGAAAUGCUUAGAUAUGUCACAGAACACCGAUAGCGAAGGCAGCUCACUAGGUCUGGAUUGACGCUCAGGGACGAAAGCGUGGGGAGCAAACAGGAUUAGAAACCCCAGUAGUCC